Molecule: long non-coding RNA, 254 nt
Organism: Dreissena polymorpha
Lineage: Eukaryota; Metazoa; Mollusca; Bivalvia; Myida; Dreissenidae
Exons: 4
Source: RefSeq, a predicted model, not a curated record
UAGAAGGUAAGUCACUGAUCCAGCACAAAGAGUUCAGUGCAACAGACCUAGCUAGAAGGUAAGUCACUGAUCCAGCACAAAGAGUUCAGUGCAACAGACCUAGCUAGAAGGUAAGUCACUGAUCCAGCACAAAGAGUUCAGUGCAACAGACCUAGCUAGAAGGUAAGUCACUGAUCCAGCACAAAGAGUUCAGUGCAACAGACUUAGCUAGAAGGUAAGUCACUGAUCCAGCACAAAGAGUUCAGUGCAACAGA